GAUGAACGCUGGCGGCGUGCUUAACACAUGCAAGUCGAACGGACAGGCCCUGCUUUUGUUGGUUGCUCGAGUGGCGAACGGGUGAGUAACACGUGAGUAACCUGCCCUUGACUUUGGGAUAACUUCUCGAAACUGCGGCUAAUACCCGAUAGGAGCUCCUGCUGCAUGGUGGGCGAUGGAAAGAUUCGGCUGUUUGGGAUGGACUCGCUGGUUAUGCGCCUGUUGGUCUGGUAGUGGAUUACCAAGCCUUUGACGGGUAGCCUGCCUGAGAGGGUGACCGGGCACAUGGGUACUGCGAUACGGACCAGAAUCCUACGGGCGGCAGCAGGGGGGAGUAUGGCGGAAUGGGGGGGAGCCUGAGGCAGAAACGCCGCGUGCGGGAUGACGUCCUUCGGGUUAUGAACAGAUGUGGACGGUGACGAAGAGUGAGUGACGGUAAUGGGUAAGGAAGCACCGGCUAACUACGUG
RNAcentral lists this ribosomal RNA (468 nucleotides) under uncultured bacterium. RNAcentral's name for it is "partial 16S ribosomal RNA". It matches the Rfam family "Bacterial small subunit ribosomal RNA", at positions 28 to 507 of the family's 1533-position model. The record is from RNAcentral.